UGAUCAUGGCUCAGGAUGAACGCUAGCUACAGGCUUAACACAUGCAAGUCGAGGGGCAGCAUGGUCUUAGCUUGCUAAGGCCGAUGGCGACCGGCGCACGGGUGAGUAACACGUAUCCAACCUGCCGUCUACUCUUGGACAGCCUUCUGAAAGGAAGGAUUUAAUACAAGAUGGCAUCAUGAGUUCGCAUGUUCACAUGAUUAAAGGUAUUCCGGUAGACGAUGGGGA
This 228-nucleotide ribosomal RNA is filed under the name uncultured bacterium. Its description in RNAcentral is "partial 16S ribosomal RNA". It matches the Rfam family "Bacterial small subunit ribosomal RNA", at positions 14 to 231 of the family's 1533-position model. The record is from RNAcentral.